AACGAACGCUGGCGGCAUGCCUAACACAUGCAAGUCGAACGAAGCCUUCGGGCUUAGUGGCGCACGGGUGCGUAACGCGUGGGAAUCUGCCCUUGGGUUCGGAAUAACAGUUAGAAAUGACUGCUAAUACCGAAUGAUGUCUUCGGACCAAAGAUUUAUCGCCCAAGGAUGAGCCCGCGUCGGAUUAGCUAGUUGGUGAGGUAAAGGCUCACCAAGGCGACGAUCCGUAGCUGGUCUGAGAGGAUGAUCAGCCACACUGGGACUGAGACACGGCCCAGACUCCUACGGGAGGCGAGCAGUGGGGAAGUUUUGGUACGAAUAGGGGCGGGAACCCC
This 335-nucleotide ribosomal RNA is filed under the name uncultured bacterium. RNAcentral describes it as "bacterial SSU rRNA". It matches the Rfam family "Bacterial small subunit ribosomal RNA", at positions 29 to 385 of the family's 1533-position model. The record is from RNAcentral.